CUUACCGCUUGGCCACGCCCCA
This 22-nucleotide transfer RNA is filed under the name Populus nigra (black poplar). RNAcentral's name for it is "partial tRNA-Gln". The record is from RNAcentral. RNAcentral also lists the same sequence under 19 other names. Lineage: Eukaryota; Viridiplantae; Streptophyta; Magnoliopsida; Malpighiales; Salicaceae.